UGCCAGCAGCCGCGGUAAUACGGAGGGGGCUAGCGUUGUUCGGAAUUACUGGGCGUAAAGCGCAUGUAGGCGGAUGAAUUAGUCAGAGGUGAAAGCCCCGAGCUCAAUCGCAGAACUGCCUUUCAAACUGGAAGACUUGAGGCCGAUAGAGGAAAGCGGAAUUAGCAGUGUAAGGGUGAAAUCUGUAGAUAUUGCUAAGAACACCAGCGGCGAAGGCGGCUUUCUGGAUCGGUUCUGACGCUGAAUUGCGAAAGCUAGGGUAGCAAACGGAAUUAGAUA
This 279-nucleotide ribosomal RNA is filed under the name uncultured bacterium. RNAcentral's name for it is "partial 16S ribosomal RNA". It matches the Rfam family "Bacterial small subunit ribosomal RNA", at positions 506 to 784 of the family's 1533-position model. The record is from RNAcentral.